UACGUAGGGUGCGAGCGUUAAUCGGAAUUACUGGGCGUAAAGCGUGCGCAGGCGGUGAUGUAAGACAGGUGUGAAAUCCCCGGGCUUAACCUGGGAACUGCAUUUGUGACUGCAUCGCUGGAGUGCGGCAGAGGGGGAUGGAAUUCCGCGUGUAGCAGUGAAAUGCGUAGAUAUGCGGAGGAACACCGAUGGCGAAGGCAAUCCCCUGGGGCCUGCACUGACGCUCAUGCACGAAAGCGUGGGGAGCAAAC
Molecule: ribosomal RNA, 251 nt
Filed under: uncultured bacterium
Lineage: Bacteria
Description: partial 16S ribosomal RNA
Rfam family: Bacterial small subunit ribosomal RNA
Source: RNAcentral